UCGUCCGGGGACAUGGAUUUAUUGUGAGGUACUAAGCAAGAUGGCAUUUAGUUGUCAUUCGUUGUAUGUAUAUAGGUGAAGGAACAAGUAAUAGGGUAUCUCUCAGUCGGAUUUAACUCCAGAGAACCUAUCGGAUAUAACUUCUGUCGUUACACUUCUUCAACAACCAGCUUGAUCAAUGUAAAACAAAAUACCUCUCUAAUGAUUAUGUCGUAGAGACGGUCGAAACGUGGAUCUUCACCUCGAGGGGGCCCAAUUGGUGAUAGUGGAUCAGAUCGAGUGGGUAGAUAACGAGCAUCAACUCCCCAACUUGAGCCGGACGAUGAUG
Daphnia pulicaria is the source of this 328-nucleotide long non-coding RNA. RefSeq lists it as uncharacterized. The record is from RefSeq and is a predicted model, not a curated record. NCBI's taxonomy places the organism in Eukaryota, Metazoa, Arthropoda, Branchiopoda, Diplostraca, Daphniidae. The transcript is spliced from 2 exons.